AACGCUGGCGGCGUGCCUAAUACAUGCAAGUCGAGCGAACAGAUAAGGAGCUUGCUCCUUUGACGUUAGCGGCGGACGGGUGAGUAACACGUGGGUAACCUACCUAUAAGACUGGAAUAACUCCGGGAAACCGGGGCUAAUGCCGGAUAACAUUUAGAACCGCAUGGUUCUAAAGUGAAAGAUGGUUUUGCUAUCACUUAUAGAUGGACCCGCGCCGUAUUAGCUAGUUGGUAAGGUAACGGCUUACCAAGGCAACGAUACGUAGCCGACCUGAGAGGGUGAUCGGCCACACUGGAACUGAGACACGGUCCAGACUCCUACGGGAGGCAGCAGUAGGGAAUCUUCCGCAAUGGGCGAAAGCCUGACGGAGCAACGCCGCGUGAGUGAUGAAGGUCUUCGGAUCGUAAAACUCUGUUAUUAGGGAAGAACAAAUGUGUAAGUAACUAUGCACGUCUUGACGGUACCUAAUCAGAAAGCCACGGCUAACUACGUGCCAGCAGCCGCGGUAAUACGUAGGUGGCAAGCGUUAUCCGGAAUUAUUGGGCGUAAAGCGCGCGUAGGCGGUUUCUUAAGUCUGAUGUGAAAGCCCACGGCUCAACCGUGGAGGGUCAUUGGAAACUGGGAAACUUGAGUGCAGAAGAGGAAAGUGGAAUUCCAUGUGUAGCGGUGAAAUGCGCAGAGAUAUGGAGGAACACCAGUGGCGAAGGCGACUUUCUGGUCUGUAACUGACGCUGAUGUGCGAAAGCGUGGGGAUCAAACAGGAUUAGAUACCCUGGUAGUCCACGCCGUAAACGAUGAGUGCUAAGUGUUAGGGGGUUUCCGCCCCUUAGUGCUGCAGCUAACGCAUUAAGCACUCCGC
Molecule: ribosomal RNA, 859 nt
Filed under: Staphylococcus cohnii
Lineage: Bacteria; Bacillati; Bacillota; Bacilli; Caryophanales; Staphylococcaceae
Description: bacterial SSU rRNA
Rfam family: Bacterial small subunit ribosomal RNA
Source: RNAcentral